This is a non-coding RNA of Pongo abelii (Sumatran orangutan), 112 nucleotides long. NCBI's taxonomy places the organism in Eukaryota, Metazoa, Chordata, Mammalia, Primates, Hominidae. The record is from Rfam.
CUCCAGCUACGGAGACAUGGUGCCCAGCACCAUUGCUGCAAGAUUUUGGGUCCAUUUGCUCACUCAGUGGCGUCUUGGUCAUUGCCCUGCUGUGCCAGUCAUUGUGUCCAAC